AAUCGCCCGGCCCAUAGAGUGAUA
This 24-nucleotide non-coding RNA is filed under the name Arabidopsis thaliana (thale cress). The record is from RNAcentral. Lineage: Eukaryota; Viridiplantae; Streptophyta; Magnoliopsida; Brassicales; Brassicaceae.